GACAUCAGGCCAAUAAAUCACUGAAACAAUUUUGCUAAUGAAGUGUAGUGACGUUUUUAGAGUAGACACUAAAAUCCCAGAUAGCUGUGGACAAUCAUUUCUUCAAGUCCUUCUCGUACCUAGGGGUUGGAUACCAGAGGACCUAUCUGUAUCUUCGUAGGUUGUCUGGGUAUGCUGAUGAGGCAACAGAAGCUACUCCAAAGACAAAUGUCAUCAUGGAUGAAUGACAUCAGAAAUGUCGGCACUGAGACCAUGCUUUGGAAGGUUGUUCAGGUGCAUGUGAAAAACCUAGGAAAAUAAGGAACUGAUGAUUAACCGAGAGGACGGCAUAUUACAGCAGCACUGUGAUCCCGAUUGCUGAGAAGGAUUCAGAUGCUCGAUUUUUCUCUCGAGUGCAACAAUACUAGUCUUUUACUCCAAUUCAGAACCUUAUGGAAUGUAGCAAACCCUCAAAUGAGUGGAAAUAAGAUUUCUAGGAGGGUGUUGAAGACUGCCUUGACAACUAUUAAGGAUGACUAGUGCUUAAUAAGGUGCAUGACAUGCAACCUUUCUUCUGAAACGCUGUGACUUGGGGAUUGUUUUCAUAGAUACUGUGGGCAUAAUACUGCCAUCCUUUACUGUCUCGCAGGAUUGAACUCCAGUGCUCUGCAGUUCAAAUUGGACCGUGUGGAUAAACUCGGUUCUCCAGACUUGCUGUCCCCUCCACCCAAAGUCCAGGCGCAUGUGUAUUGUUGCACAGGAGCCUGCCCAUCCUCCCACAUGGGCUGGAUAUCUGAGACGGUUUCGCUUGUGGCUCCUAUUCAGUCAAUGGUGAGUGGACAAUCAUUCCAUCUUUCUUAGAGAAGGGGUGUUCUGACUUAGACACUGGUACACUGGUAUGCCCAGUGGUUGUACCAAUAUCCUAACAGAUGGCAAUAAACAGAUUGCAGAGAUUUGGGGGAAAAAACAUGGCAUGGGUGCAUUCCACCCACAUUGAACUGGAGCAACCACUCCAGUUGGGAUAUUUUCUUAUCAGUGACAUUGUGGGGAAGUCUUCAUCCCCUGGUAAAAGUGACCCUUUCGUAAGUCAUUUUUCUUUAGGUGUUCCUGAAUGUCCUACUAUUCUCUUCAACCCCAGCCCUCCCUGUAGUCAUAACUGAAUAAAAAAGUCUUUUUGUAUUUUCUGUCUCUUAGAGAAGAGG
This is a long non-coding RNA of Diceros bicornis minor, 1181 nucleotides long. RefSeq lists it as uncharacterized. The transcript is spliced from 3 exons. Lineage: Eukaryota; Metazoa; Chordata; Mammalia; Perissodactyla; Rhinocerotidae. The record is from RefSeq and is a predicted model, not a curated record.